Long non-coding RNA from Hydra vulgaris (swiftwater hydra), 719 nucleotides. RefSeq lists it as uncharacterized. The record is from RefSeq and is a predicted model, not a curated record. NCBI's taxonomy places the organism in Eukaryota, Metazoa, Cnidaria, Hydrozoa, Anthoathecata, Hydridae.
UUGGAAUUAAAUGAAUUACUGUUAUGGAUUUGUGAAUUAUAUUAAAUUUAUUAUUAUUUGUAUAAAAACGUUGCUCAUUUUUGUCCGGAAUCACCCUCCAAACAUGUGUUUUAAAACUUAUUUUGCAUAUGCCAUUUUUUCAGUAUAGUUUCUUUAGUUUUGGUUGUACAUCAAGUGUCCGGAGUUACCCGCCGUUCGGGGUUAUCCGACUUUCCUCUAACGAUCAGCUACUAAUUUAACAACAAAAUGUAUUUACAAUACAAAAUACAUCCUUCAAAUUGGUACAACUUCAAAAUCUACGAUUUGUGGUGAAAUAGGUUUGGAAAUGGUGGUCCAAACUUUUACGUUUUUGCAGUUAAAGUCCACAGUCAAACAUUUCGAGCAAUGGAUUAAAAAGAAGAACAAGGUACCUUAUUUGAUGAUGAAGAUCAUUAGUGCUUCAACCUUCAAGGUGAAGCAACAAAAAGAAGUUGCAGAUGAAGCAGAUCCGUCGGGAUUUGGAUAUGUUGAUGAGAAUGUACUAUUUCAUGAAGACAACGAUGAAAAAGAUGAAUAUAAUGAAGAUAAAGAAUGAAGAUUUAUUUUGUAUUAUUCAUUGUAAAACUUUUAAUGUUAUGAAUUGUUUGUAACUUUGUAUAAACGUCGACUCGUAAAUUCAUAGCAAUAAUAAAAGGUAUACUUUAUAUUUUACACAAUAUAUUGUGUAAAACAUGGUCUUG